This is a long non-coding RNA of Esox lucius (northern pike), 749 nucleotides long. The record is from Ensembl. NCBI's taxonomy places the organism in Eukaryota, Metazoa, Chordata, Actinopteri, Esociformes, Esocidae.
GAAGGAUCAGUAACCAUGGUAGCACCCACAUAAAAAUGCAUACAAGCAUUUAGUUCGCAAACAAGCAUUUCUGUGAGCAACGUUGUCAUUGUUAGGGAAAUGCUUAAAUGCUUACAUGUAUGUAUAUACACUAUGUAUAUGUAUGUACGUUUGAAUGCAGUGUUCAAGACGCAGAACUUUGUGACUGUAACAACAGCUCCUUAAAGGUUUUGAGGUUCACUCUCAACUACGGCUACAUGGCGUGGGGCUAACAAGGUGGAUUACCUCAUUCCCCUCCUUCAGGGUUAGGGUACUUCAGCCUCAAUUGCAUCUUUGUUUUAAGUCAGUCAUACAAUAUGACCCACUAAGGAGAGUUAAAACCCUGCCCUAAGCCCAACCAACAGACACUGAACCAAGCAGGCCACUGUCAGCUUGAGGGAAAUUGUUUAAUUAGUAUGCAAGCCAAUGCAGUCACUUGUUACCAGCACCAGAGGAGAGGCCUUUACUGUCACAGGCCAAGGUGUUUUCCCUCCCAGUCCAGACAGUGUGUGUCUACUUGUGACCUUGCCAAUCAGCUUACAUUGGAAAGGAACCAGAGGUGUUGCUGGGUUUGGACCAAGUGGGACUGAGCAGGGUAUCAGAAGCACGACCAGGGCUGAAUGGUGGAACCACGCAGACGACACGGUCAAAAAAUUUGUGGGCAUGAAUGCAUGAGUGGGCAUGAAUGCUCUCAACCCGAUGCUGCCAAUGAUCAACAAGCUAAGAUGGGG